RNAcentral lists this transfer RNA (539 nucleotides) under uncultured cyanobacterium. RNAcentral's name for it is "partial miscellaneous RNA". The stretch from base 211 to 283 matches the Rfam family "tRNA". The record is from RNAcentral. Lineage: Bacteria; Bacillati; Cyanobacteriota.
CAGGGAGACAACAAAAUGUUUAUAUUAUUAUUUUGUCACCUUAGGUCGAUCGGUAUCUCACGUUUUUAAUUUAUUAAGAAUUUCAUUUCCUAAGUUUUUCUAGGUCACACCCAUUAUUUUUCCUGGGCCAUUAGCUCUGGUGGUUAGAGCGCACCCCUGAUAAGGGUGAGGUCCCUGGUUCAAGUCCAGGAUGGCCCAUAUCUCUAUGUUGGGGGUAUAGCUCAGUUGGUAGAGCGCCUGCUUUGCAAGCAGGAUGUCAGCGGUUCGAGUCCGCUUACCUCCACUGAUUACCACCUCUUCCAUAAUCGGUAGAAAGGAAACGUUUUGAGUAGUGAUCAAAUUCUGAAAGAAUCUAGCUUCCUAAUGGAAUCAUUAAGAUGCUGGACUCAUUGAAUUAAUUUCAUUGUUUUCAGAGAACCUUGACAACUGCAUAGAUUAUUUUUAAAGACAAUAAGCAUCUUUAAUGAUGCAGAUUUAUUAUUUGUGCGAAUGCAUUAAUAACAAUUCUAUUAAGCUGAUGCUUCAAUUUUGAAGUUAUU